GGAUGGGUAGGGGAGCGUCGUCUGCCGGGUGAAGCAGCCGUGUAAGCGAGUUGUGGACGGUUGACGAGUGAGAAUGCAGGCAUGAGUAGCGAUUCACACGUGAGAAACGUGUGCGCCGAUUGACUAAGGGUUCCUGGGUCAAGCUGAUCUGCCCAGGGUAAGUCGGGACCUAAGGCGAGGCCGACAGGCGUAGUCGAUGGAUAACCGGUUGAUAUUCCGGUACCCGCUGUGGAGCGUCAAACAUCGAAUCCAGUGAUGCUAAGCCCGUGAAGCCGCCGGCUGAGUCUUCGGACGAGGUCGGAGUGGUGGAGCCGGUGACCCGAGCUGGUAGUAGGUGAGUGAUGGGGUGACGCAGGAAGGUAGUCCAUCCCGGGCGGUGGUUGUCCCGGGGUAAGGGUGUAGGCCGGACGGUAGGUAAAUCCGCCGUUCAUUAAGGCUGAGACCUGAUGCCGAGCCGAUUGUGGUGAAGUGGAUGAUCCUAUGCUGUCGAGAAAAGCCUCUAGCGAGUUUCAUGGCGGCCCGUACCCUAAACCGACUCAGGUGGUCAGGUAGAGAAUACCGAGGCGUUCGGGUGAACUAUGGUUAAGGAACUCGGCAAAAUGCCCCCGUAACUUCGGGAGAAGGGGGGCCACAACCGGUGAUGGGCUUCGCGCUCUGAGCUGGGGGUGGCCGCAGAGACCAGCGAGAAGCGACUGUUUACUAAAAACACAGGUCCGUGCGAAGCCGUAAGGCGAUGUAUACGGACUGACGCCUGCCCGGUGCUGGAACGUUAAGGGGACCGGUUAGCUUGGAUUCGUCCAGGCGAAGCUGAGAACUUAAGCGCCAGUAAACGGCGGUGGUAACUAUAACCAUCCUAAGGUAGCGAAAUUCCUUGUCGGGUAAGUUCCGACCUGCACGAAUGGCGUAACGACUUCUCGACUGUCUCAACCAUAGGCCCGGUGAAAUUGCACUACGAGUAAAGAUGCUCGUUUCGCGCAGCAGGACGGAAAGACCCCGGGACCUUUACUACAGUUUGAUAUUGGUGUUCGGUUCGGCUUGUGUAGGAUAGCUGGGAGACUGUGAAGCGGCCACGCCAGUGGUUGUGGAGUCGUCGUUGAAAUACCAGUCUGGUCGUGCUGGAUGUCUAACCUGGGUCCGUGAUCCGGAUCAGGGACAGUGUCUGAUGGGUAGUUUAACUGGGGCGGUUGCCUCCUAAAGGGUAACGGAGGCGCCCAAAGGUUCCCUCAGCCUGGUUGGCAAUCAGGUGUUGAGUGUAAGUGCACAAGGGAGCUUGACUGUGAGACCGACGGGUCGAGCAGGGACGAAAGUCGGGACUAGUGAUCCGGCGGUGGCUUGUGGAAGCGCCGUCGCUCAACGGAUAAAAGGUACCCCGGGGAUAACAGGCUGAUCUUCCCCAAGAGUCCAUAUCGACGGGAUGGUUUGGCACCUCGAUGUCGGCUCGUCGCAUCCUGGGGCUGGAGUCGGUCCCAAGGGUUGGGCUGUUCGCCCAUUAAAGCGGUACGCGAGCUGGGUUUAGAACGUCGUGAGACAGUUCGGUCCCUAUCCGCUGUGCGCGUAGGAGUCUUGAGAAGGGCUGUCCCUAGUACGAGAGGACCGGGACGGACGAACCUCUGGUGUGCCAGUUGUUCUGCCAAGGGCAUGGCUGGUUGGCUACGUUCGGGAGGGAUAACCGCUGAAAGCAUCUAAGCGGGAAGCCUGCUUCGAGAUGAGGACUCCCACCCACUUGAUGGGGUAAGGCUCCCAGUAGACGACUGGGUUGAUAGGCCGGAUAUGGAAGCACGGUAACGUGUGGAGUUGACCGGUACUAAUAGGCCGAGGGCUUGUCCUC
Molecule: ribosomal RNA, 1828 nt
Filed under: Streptomyces althioticus subsp. attaecolombicae
Lineage: Bacteria; Bacillati; Actinomycetota; Actinomycetes; Kitasatosporales; Streptomycetaceae
Description: Streptomyces sp. DSM 41972 partial 23S ribosomal RNA
Rfam family: Bacterial large subunit ribosomal RNA
Source: RNAcentral